ACGAACGCUGGCGGCGUGCCUAAUACAUGCAAGUCGAACGCACUCUCGUUUGGAUUGAAGGAGUUUGCUCCUGAUUGAUAAACAUUUGAGUGAGUGGCGGACGGGUGAGUAACACGUGGGUAACCUGCCCUAAAGUGGGGGAUAACAUUUGGAAACAGAUGCUAAUCCCGCAUAAAACCUAACACCGCAUGGUGUAGGGUUGAAAGAUGGUUUCGGCUAUCACUUUAGGAUGGACCCGCGGUGCAUUAGUUAGUUGGUGAGGUAAAGGCUCACCAAGACCGUGAUGCAUAGCCGACCUGAGAGGGUGAUCGGCCACACUGGGACUGAGACACGGCCCAGACUCCUACGGGAGGCAGCAGUAGGGAAUCUUCCACAAUGGACGAAAGUCUGAUGGAGCAACGCCGCGUGAGUGAAGAAGGUUUUCGGAUCGUAAAACUCUGUUGUUGGAGAAGAAUGUAUCUGAUAGUAACUGAUCAGGUAGUGACGGUAUCCAACCAGAAAGCCACGGCUAACUACGUG
This 519-nucleotide ribosomal RNA is filed under the name uncultured bacterium. RNAcentral's name for it is "partial 16S ribosomal RNA". It matches the Rfam family "Bacterial small subunit ribosomal RNA", at positions 29 to 507 of the family's 1533-position model. The record is from RNAcentral.